CCUACGGGAGGCAGCAGUGGGGAAUAUUGCACAAUGGAGGAAACCCUGAUGCAGCGACGCCGCGUGAGUGAAGAAGUAUUUCGGUAUGUAAAGCUCUAUUAGCAGGGAAGAAGAAAGACGGUACCUGACUAAGAAGCCCCGGCUAACUACGUGCCAGCAGCCGCGGUAAUACGUAGGGGGCAAGCGUUAUCCGGGUUUACUGGGUGUAAAGGGAGCGUAGGCGGAUGUGGAAGUCUGAAGUGAAAGCCCAGGGCUCAACCCUGGGACUGCGUUGGAAACUGUGGGUCUAGAGUGCUGGAGAGGUAAGUGGAAUUCGUGGUGUAGCGGUGAAAUGCGUAGAUAUUAGGAGGAACACCAGUGGCGAAGGCAGCUUACUGGACAGUAACUGACGUUGAGGCUCGAAAGCGUGGGGAGCAAACAGGAUUAGAUACCCGGGUAGUC
RNAcentral lists this ribosomal RNA (441 nucleotides) under uncultured bacterium. RNAcentral describes it as "partial 16S ribosomal RNA". It matches the Rfam family "Bacterial small subunit ribosomal RNA", at positions 338 to 795 of the family's 1533-position model. The record is from RNAcentral.